Molecule: long non-coding RNA, 315 nt
Organism: Pipistrellus kuhlii (Kuhl's pipistrelle)
Lineage: Eukaryota; Metazoa; Chordata; Mammalia; Chiroptera; Vespertilionidae
Exons: 3
Source: RefSeq, a predicted model, not a curated record
GGGCAGAAAUGUAAUCGUGGGGACUAGCUAUUAGUUUUAAGAAAUAAAAUAAGAAAUGUUAAUCAUGCUCUGUUAACCACGAUGGCUCUGUUCUGAUUAGAGAAAGCACACUCUAACCUGGCUGGGAGUUAUGUGCCCUGGGACAUGGGCGCUAACAUCGGAAUGCAGUCCAUCCUCCUUUCCCUGAGAACUGCCUGUCAUCAUGGAAAGAUUUACAACCUCGUGGCUGAAACAAUCUAGUCCUGGAGGCACCUGCUCUUUACAACCCCAGCCCCUUUUGCCUGUAAUCUGGUCCCGGGGCUCAGAGAGCUUGCA